Vulpes vulpes (red fox) is the source of this 107-nucleotide small nuclear RNA. Lineage: Eukaryota; Metazoa; Chordata; Mammalia; Carnivora; Canidae. The record is from Ensembl.
GUGAUCGCUUUGGCAGCACAUAAACUAAAAUUGGACUGAUACAGAGGAAAUCAGCAUGGGUCCCAUGCAAGGAUGACAAGCAUAUUUAUGAAGCAUUGCAUAUUUUU